CCUGUUACAGUUUUCGUGCUGCUUAGCACAAUAAAAAGCAUUCAAAGAGAGGCGGGCGCAAGAAAGAGAAGUGCGGUGAAGGAAGAGAUGAAAAGACAGAUGUCAGCACCGUCGUGCCCAUAGACGCCGCGAGCUGCCACCGGCGGCACAAAGACACAUGAUUAACAGCAAGGGCCGGGCAGCGCUAACUGUGCCGCUCGAUCAAAGGCAGCUGCUGAUUGAUCGUCCCCAGCCCAGGUCUGUGGCAGUCCCGGGAGGGCCCCUCCAUCUCACCCUGCUCCCUCUGAGCCGGCAGCUGCGGAGCGGGGCUGGAAGGCGGUGGGAGCUGCGGCGGUGUGUGAGCCGUGCAGAGGACCAGAUGUGCCGCGGGUCGUCUUCCACUGGUGAAGACAAGUUCUAGGCAAACUGAGCUAGCAGUAUAGCAGGUAUGAGAAGAAUGAAUACUUGGUAUCCUGCACCAGGGCCUUCCCAGAGCUGGCCGGCCUUGAAGGGAACAUUAACGAGGAGACUUCAGGGACAUCAUCAACUUGGCAAGAACACCCAUGGUCUGUGAGUCCUGAACUGAACUGCCUCCAUUAGAAUACUACAGUCACACCCACGGGUCAGAAAGACUCCUGCCUGGGUUCUUCUGGCUUGGGAGCUGAAUGCUGUGAAGAGGAAACGCUGCGCUUAUUGGGGAUGCAGCAGCUGAGUGGGACCACGUCAGGAAGGCUCGAACACAAAAAUAGCAGCCCUGCUGUUGUUCGGUUACACCCCAAUGUUUGGUUUCUUGUUUCCCUUUUUUUAAGCUCACCAUGUGUGUGCUGACUGCGCUUCUUUUGCAGUUCUGUGAAACACAAAGGUGGGGAGAGAACCAAACUUCUGUUUGUCACCCAGUCCUCUCCCUGCAGCGCCCAGAGGGAGCUGUGCCACCAUCCCCAGGAGAGAUGUGUCAGCUCCAGGAUGGAUGGUUCCUCCGGUGCCAUUCCAUGUGUCUCUUAUGAAGACCUCCUUCUCACCAGGCCAGGAAAGUCCCAGCACAUCCUAAGCAUAGCCACGGCUGCUUUACAGAGAAAAAGCUGCACUGAGUUGUGCUGGCACAGUGGCAUAUCCAUCAGCUAUUAUUUAAAUGUGUAUAAAUUCAUAGAAGAGUAAACAUAUGUUGAUAUAAAAGUCUAAAGGAGGAAAAGAAAAAGAGGACAAAAGAUAUAUUGUCAUAAGACAAAGAAAAAAGUACAAGCAUGCGAGAAGCCUUUCCGCCUGGAUGACAUAGCCACGAAGCACAGCUCCAAAGCCUCCAAAGCACUACAGUACUCAUUCCCAGCCCAGAGGUGCUGGUUACUUCAUAAGAGAUGCCCAGGAGCAAAUCCCUGCUUGGAGCAGGGGGGCAGGGCAGUGCUGCUCAACUGCUCACCGCGCCGGCUCUGCACAGCGCUGCAGCCCGCAGAAAACUUCCAUCUACUGCGGGCUGUCCAGAAACAGUGAGAACCCCAGGUGCUGAGCUCUCUGAAAGCUGGGAACAAAGCCUGAGUUAGCCAGCUCCAAAGGCAAAAUUAAUGUCACUGCUAGAAAAUAAAGCAGUGACCUUGACUACCUGCAUGAAGUGUAAGAGCGAGCUGUACUUCCUGCGCUGCCAUCUCACGGCAUUGCAGUGGGACACCAACUGAGCUCUUGCUGUGACAGUAUCAGCAAAGACAGGACCCCGCGUGGCAGGGCGGGUGUCCCAAAGCACUGGCACUUUGGGGAUGUACACGGAUGCUACAGCUCCCACGCCUGAGGAGUAAAACACACGAGCAGCACAGGCAUCCCCACAACACCAGCCGUGUACUCACCCACAGCAGUGCCACGCGAUGCUUCCAAUCCAACUGGCAGCUGCCACAGCCCCGCAAUGACAACACAGCCUACGUGCUCACAGUGACUCCAGGCCAGCUUUUCUUGUCUGAGAGACAAUAUUUUGGGGGAGAUUUUAAUUUAAAAUCACUUUGAAGGCUGGUGUGAAGAGAGAAGAGCCUUCUCUUCCUAUUUAAAAUACUCCAGAGAGGCAGUCAGCUCUUGAGAAAGAGCCGUGCCUGAAGAUCCUGUCCUGACAAGAGGAAAAUCAGAACAAACAGGACAAGGGGAGAGAGGAGACGAGGAGACAGGACGUGGAAUCACACACAGCUCAGUGCAGAGCUGCAGCCCGCGUGGGCCAAGCACCAGCAGCACUUUCUCCAGUGCUCACAGCCUCAGGUGCUGAAUGGCAGUUCAGUGUCACCAAACCAUACACAGAAGCCCAGAUCUCACUCUUGUUGCUGGGUGCUAUUUACCUGCACUCCGGGUAUUCAUUUUUCAUCCUCGCUCUCUUCUAAGAGCAAUAUCACUCCAAGUAGCUCUGCAACUGCAGGCAGCUCUCAUUCCCCACCAUCCCCUGCUUCAGGCUGCCUUGUCACACACCAAAAAAGUCAGCUGCACUGACUGCUCCCACAGCUCUGUGCACAUCACAGGCUGAAGGCCCUUCUCAGCCCCUCUCUCCUCCUUUACAAGCACACUGGAUGCCUCGUGUCUGCAGGCAGCAUGACCUGACCUCUGUAGGUCUGCACAGCACCUGACUGCCACGAGCAGCCCCACGGCCCUCCUGCAGCCACCACGCAGCACCAGCAGCCCUCUCACUUCCCGUCUGGUCAUCUGCUCAUUCUCUGCUCACUUAAAUGUGUGUGUGGAACAGGGCAUUUUGGCAGAGGAUUUGUCUGGGGGUUUAGUUAUCUCUUGUCCCCAGACAGACAAGCAGAUAGCCCAGAAAUACUUGUAGAAAAAGGACAAAAGCUGUAUCUGGCAUUAACGGUUCCUUUCUCUUCUACAAGGCUAAGGGAAGCAGUGCUGGGAGUGGCAGUUCUUUCUCAGUCGCCAUCCCGACGGUUCCUCUAUCUCACUUCUUUAGGCUCUGGCAUCCUUCCCGUGUCCUCUUUCAUUCCUGGGUUCUUCUGAGCUGUUCCCCUGCCAGCUUUUGGCAUCCAGCUCUUGGCAUGCACUUAAGAGGAGGAAAUUGAGCUGACACUGGCAUCAGAGCCUGCUGCAGCCUAAUAGAGAACAUGCUGCAUGGGCAAGACCUGGGCCAGAACAGAGGGAGCUCUAUUUCCUGAGCAAAUCAGCAAUGUCAUUAGUUUCAUAAGCACACUUGAGGCAGCCCGGAGAAGGCAGGCAAAAUGUUGCAGUCGUUCAGCUGCAAAUAUUUUUACAGUGUUACGGGGACUCAGCAUCAACCAUUCAAGGCUUUUGCUCCAACCUACACAACAUCAAAUACUACUGAUCCACAGCUGAUUUUUUACAUAGGUGUGGUUCCGUUUGGAAUUUAAGUUACAUUUUGUACACGAGGAAAGAGGUGUUGCUCCCUAUUCCCCCAGCUGUCACUGCACAUCCAGGCCAGCUCAGCUCACAGAGUACCCAGUGGAGGACAAAUUGCCAUCAUGCACUCGAGGUCCCUUCGAGCAAAGGGCUGCUGCUGGGCAGCGCUGGGAGGGUGCUGACCCUGCUGAGGUGUUGCUGCUGACAGCCCAGGGGCCAAACCGACCCGGACUCACUGCGACGGCUGCAGUGCAUCGUGUGAGCUGUGCUUGAUGAAAGAGGUCUGCUUCUAACAGCCACGUAGACAUGGAUAUAGAACAAAAGAAUUAAUAAGUUGGUGAAACAGUGAGAACAUUUAAAUCUGCAGCUUUUCCCAGACUCUGUUCCCUGUGGCAUCGCACAGCUUCCCCAGCUUCACUUCAGAAUACCUCCCCAGCUCAGUGCCAGGUACCUGGGGCUCACAUGAAUUCCGGAUUCCCCAUGGUUAAUUCUACAGACUGUGUCCAAUGGUACCUAACCCAGGAGGCACCUCCCCUCACCCUCCAGAAAACACAUUGUAGAAUUUGUUAAGUAAUGACAGACACUUCGUCAAACAGACCAUUCAUCUCAACAUGUGAACCAGAAGGCGCAGAAGGUUUGUUUCUAAACAUGUAAAAAGUCCAUGCAGACCAGCGGUGCUUCUGGAGACUCUAUUGGCAGCUGUGGGUUGGGAAUGGAGUGGUAAUAAAAAAACCUAAGCUUUCAUCUCAUUCAUUUACUUCAUCUAUUCAAACUAACUUAGCAUGAAGGUGCAGCAGCAAGUAUAGGUGCUAUUUAGGAUUGCUUCUGUUUGUAGAUGAGGAAAGUCAGAGCAGCGCAGGAGCACAAUGUGUGCACACUCACAGCUCACCGUGUCAGAGGAUGACUUCCAGGGCUCAGAACCACUGCUUGGAAGAAGAGCAAGUCGUGGGAAACGCAGUGUGUACGUAUGGCUGUUUCCUCAUCCUGCUGCUCCCUGCACAGUGCUUGCAAAGCAAAGACUGCACUGCAAGCCAGCACCUUCCAGCACCAAGCAGGAUCGGGAUGGAUGCGGAAG
This 4375-nucleotide long non-coding RNA is filed under the name Gallus gallus (chicken). RNAcentral describes it as "lncRNA (ENSGALG00010022278.1)". The record is from RNAcentral. Lineage: Eukaryota; Metazoa; Chordata; Aves; Galliformes; Phasianidae.